This 2862-nucleotide ribosomal RNA is filed under the name Salmonella enterica subsp. enterica serovar Typhimurium. RNAcentral's name for it is "partial 23S ribosomal RNA". It matches the Rfam family "Bacterial large subunit ribosomal RNA". Lineage: Bacteria; Pseudomonadati; Pseudomonadota; Gammaproteobacteria; Enterobacterales; Enterobacteriaceae. The record is from RNAcentral.
GUGUGAUUCGUCACACUAUCAUUAACUGAAUCCAUAGGUUAAUGAGGCGAACCGGGGGAACUGAAACAUCUAAGUACCCCGAGGAAAAGAAAUCAACCGAGAUUCCCCCAGUAGCGGCGAGCGAACGGGGAGGAGCCCAGAGCCUGAAUCAGCAUGUGUGUUAGUGGAAGCGUCUGGAAAGGCGCGCGAUACAGGGUGACAGCCCCGUACACAAAAGCGCAUGUGCUGUGAGCUCGAUGAGUAGGGCGGGACACGUGGUAUCCUGUCUGAAUAUGGGGGGACCAUCCUCCAAGGCUAAAUACUCCUGACUGACCGAUAGUGAACCAGUACCGUGAGGGAAAGGCGAAAAGAACCCCGGCGAGGGGAGUGAAAAAGAACCUGAAACCGUGUACGUACAAGCAGUGGGAGCACCCUUCGGGGUGUGACUGCGUACCUUUUGUAUAAUGGGUCAGCGACUUAUAUUCUGUAGCAAGGUUAACCGUAUAGGGGAGCCGGAGGGAAACCGAGUCUUAAUUGGGCGUUAAGUUGCAGGGUAUAGACCCGAAACCCGGUGAUCUAGCCAUGGGCAGGUUGAAGGUUGGGUAACACUAACUGGAGGACCGAACCGACUAAUGUUGAAAAAUUAGCGGAUGACCUGUGGCUGGGGGUGAAAGGCCAAUCAAACCGGGAGAUAGCUGGUUCUCCCCGAAAGCUAUUUAGGUAGCGCCUCGUGAAUUCAUCUCCGGGGGUAGAGCACUGUUUCGGCUAGGGGGCCAUCCCGGCUUACCAACCCGAUGCAAACUGCGAAUACCGGAGAAUGUUAUCACGGGAGACACACGGCGGGUGCUAACGUCCGUCGUGAAGAGGGAAACAACCCAGACCGCCAGCUAAGGUCCCAAAGUCAUGGUUAAGUGGGAAACGAUGUGGGAAGGCCCAGACAGCCAGGAUGUUGGCUUAGAAGCAGCCAUCAUUUAAAGAAAGCGUAAUAGCUCACUGGUCGAGUCGGCCUGCGCGGAAGAUGUAACGGGGCUAAACCAUGCACCGAAGCUGCGGCAGCGAACGUAUCACCCAAGACAACUUUACGGAGUUGACGAUUGACGGAGCGAAGCGACGUCAAAGCGUUCAUUAAAGUCGAGUUGGCUUAGGGAUACGUUCGUUGGGUAGGGGAGCGUUCUGUAAGCCUGUGAAGGUGUGUCGUGAGGCAUGCUGGAGGUAUCAGAAGUGCGAAUGCUGACAUAAGUAACGAUAAAGCGGGUGAAAAGCCCGCUCGCCGGAAGACCAAGGGUUCCUGUCCAACGUUAAUCGGGGCAGGGUGAGUCGACCCCUAAGGCGAGGCCGAAAGGCGUAGUCGAUGGGAAACGGGUUAAUAUUCCCGUACUUGGUGUUACUGCGAAGGGGGGACGGAGAAGGCUAUGUUGGCCGGGCGACGGUUGUCCCGGUUUAAGCGUGUAGGUGUGUGUUCCAGGUAAAUCCGGUUCACUUUAACACUGAGGCGUGACGACGAGGCACUACGGUGCUGAAGCAACAAAUGCCCUGCUUCCAGGAAAAGCCUCUAAGCAUCAGGUAACAUCAAAUCGUACCCCAAACCGACACAGGUGGUCAGGUAGAGAAUACCAAGGCGCUUGAGAGAACUCGGGUGAAGGAACUAGGCAAAAUGGUGCCGUAACUUCGGGAGAAGGCACGCUGACACGUAGGUGAAGUGAUUUACUCAUGGAGCUGAAGUCAGUCGAAGAUACCAGCUGGCUGCAACUGUUUAUUAAAAACACAGCACUGUGCAAACACGAAAGUGGACGUAUACGGUGUGACGCCUGCCCGGUGCCGGAAGGUUAAUUGAUGGGGUCAGCGCAAGCGAAGCUCCUGAUCGAAGCCCCGGUAAACGGCGGCCGUAACUAUAACGGUCCUAAGGUAGCGAAAUUCCUUGUCGGGUAAGUUCCGACCUGCACGAAUGGCGUAAUGAUGGCCAGGCUGUCUCCACCCGAGACUCAGUGAAAUUGAACUCGCUGUGAAGAUGCAGUGUACCCGCGGCAAGACGGAAAGACCCCGUGAACCUUUACUAUAGCUUGACACUGAACAUUGAGCCUUGAUGUGUAGGAUAGGUGGGAGGCUUUGAAGUGUGGACGCCAGUCUGCAUGGAGCCGACCUUGAAAUACCACCCUUUAAUGUUUGAUGUUCUAACGUGGACCCGUAAUCCGGGUUGCGGACAGUGUCUGGUGGGUAGUUUGACUGGGGCGGUCUCCUCCUAAAGAGUAACGGAGGAGCACGAAGGUUGGCUAAUCCUGGUCGGACAUCAGGAGGUUAGUGCAAUGGCAUAAGCCAGCUUGACUGCGAGCGUGACGGCGCGAGCAGGUGCGAAAGCAGGUCAUAGUGAUCCGGUGGUUCUGAAUGGAAGGGCCAUCGCUCAACGGAUAAAAGGUACUCCGGGGAUAACAGGCUGAUACCGCCCAAGAGUUCAUAUCGACGGCGGUGUUUGGCACCUCGAUGUCGGCUCAUCACAUCCUGGGGCUGAAGUAGGUCCCAAGGGUAUGGCUGUUCGCCAUUUAAAGUGGUACGCGAGCUGGGUUUAGAACGUCGUGAGACAGUUCGGUCCCUAUCUGCCGUGGGCGCUGGAGAACUGAGGGGGGCUGCUCCUAGUACGAGAGGACCGGAGUGGACGCAUCACUGGUGUUCGGGUUGUCAUGCCAAUGGCACUGCCCGGUAGCUAAAUGCGGAAGAGAUAAGUGCUGAAAGCAUCUAAGCACGAAACUUGCCCCGAGAUGAGUUCUCCCUGAGACUUAGAGUCUCCUGAAGGAACGUUGAAGACGACGACGUUGAUAGGCCGGGUGUGUAAGCGCAGCGAUGCGUUGAGCUAACCGGUACUAAUGAACCGUGAGGCUUAACCUUACA